RNAcentral lists this ribosomal RNA (104 nucleotides) under uncultured bacterium. RNAcentral's name for it is "partial 16S ribosomal RNA". It matches the Rfam family "Bacterial small subunit ribosomal RNA", at positions 1379 to 1482 of the family's 1533-position model. The record is from RNAcentral.
CCUUGUACACACCGCCCGUCACGCCAUGGAAGCUGGGGGGACCCGAAGCCGGUGUGCCAACCGCAAGGAGGCAGCCGUUUAAGGUCAACUCAGUGACUGGGGCG